RNAcentral lists this ribosomal RNA (248 nucleotides) under uncultured bacterium. Its description in RNAcentral is "partial 16S ribosomal RNA". It matches the Rfam family "Bacterial small subunit ribosomal RNA", at positions 57 to 305 of the family's 1533-position model. The record is from RNAcentral.
GCAAGUCGAGGGGUAAGGUCUCUUCGGAGAUACAGGACCGGCGCACGGGUGCGUAACGCGUAUGCAGUCUACCCACCGCUGGGGCAUAGCCCGAAGAAAUUCGGAUUAAUUCCCCAUAAUGCAGGGGUACCACCUGGUACUAUUUGCUAAAGAUUUAUCGGCAGUGGAUAAGCAUGCGUCUGAUUAGCUAGUUGGUGAGGUAACGGCUCACCAAGGCGAUGAUCAGUAGCGGGUCUGAGAGGAUGAUC